GACGAACCGUGCGAACGUUAUUCGGAAUCACUGGGCUUAAAGCGCGUGUAGGCGGGGUGGCACGUCCGUCGCUGAAAUCCCCCGGCUCAACCCGGGAACGGGCGCGGAUACGACCAUCCUCGAGGGACGUAGGGGGACCUGGAACUUCCGGUGUAGCGGUGAAAUGCGUUGAGAUCGGAAGGAACGCCCGUGGCGAAAGCGAGGUCCUGGACGUCUGCUGACGCUGAGACGCGAAAGCCAGGGGAGCGAACGGG
Molecule: ribosomal RNA, 254 nt
Filed under: uncultured bacterium
Lineage: Bacteria
Description: partial 16S ribosomal RNA
Rfam family: Bacterial small subunit ribosomal RNA
Source: RNAcentral